This 446-nucleotide ribosomal RNA is filed under the name uncultured bacterium. RNAcentral's name for it is "partial 16S ribosomal RNA". It matches the Rfam family "Bacterial small subunit ribosomal RNA", at positions 338 to 795 of the family's 1533-position model. The record is from RNAcentral.
CCUACGGGCGGCUGCAGUCGAGAAUCAUUCACAAUGGGGGAAACCCUGAUGGUGCGACGCCGCGUGGGGGAAUGAAGGUCUUCGGAUUGUAAACCCCUGUCAUGUGGGAGCAAAUUAAAAAGAUAGUACCACAAGAGGAAGAGACGGCUAACUCUGUGCCAGCAGCCGCGGUAAUACAGAGGUCUCAAGCGUUGUUCGGAAUCACUGGGCGUAAAGCGUGCGUAGGCUGUUUCGUAAGUCGUGUGUGAAAGGCGCGGGCUCAACCCGCGGACGGCACAUGAUACUGCUAGACUAGAGUAAUGGAGGGGGAACCGGAAUUCUCGGUGUAGCAGUGAAAUGCGUAGAUAUCGAGAGGAACACUCGUGGCGAAGGCGGGUUCCUGGACAUUAACUGACGCUGAGGCACGAAGGCCAGGGGAGCGAAAAGGAUUAGAUACCCCAGUAGUC